GCAUUAUAACUCUAAUACAAAUCCUUAACUCUUCACCAACUUUUCAAGUUCAAGUUUAAGUUUAGUUUAUUUGCCACAUACACAUGCGAGAUACGCAGUGAAAUGAAAAGUGGCAAUGCUCGUGGAUUGUGCAACAAAACAAACAAACUACAAACAGAAUGGAACAGAAUCACAUAUUACAUAUUUGUGGGAGGAAAGAAAAGGAAAAAUACAGCAAUUUUAAAAAACAGUAAAGUGGUGCAAUAAAGUUGGUCCCUGGUGAGAUAGGAGUUUACAGUCCUCAUGGCCUCUGGGAAGAAACUCCUUCUCAUCCUCUCCGCUCUCACAGCAUGGCAACGGAGGCGUUUGCCUGACCGUAGCAAGCAAACAAAAGCAGAAGAAAGAAUAGACCCUCACACCUGGACAUAAUCAAUCUACACACCAGAAAUAAAAUUUCCUUCAUCUCCAUUUUAAAUGGCUAAUCCCUCAUCUAAUCGAGGUAGUUUGAGGCAGGGACUUCUGCAACAAUUAAUAAACAUUUAGACAGGUACAUGGAUGGGAUAGGUUUAGAGGGAUAUGGUACAAAUGCUUGCAGGUGGGACUAAUGUAAAUGGGGCACAUUGGUCUGUGUGGGCAAGUUGGGCUGAAGGGCCUGUUUCCACACUGUAUGACUAUGUCUCCCUGAUUCAAUGACUCCUCGGGAUUAUUAUACUUCAAUCAAGUCCCUUCUCCCACUAUUUGCUCUUCUGUUACAUUUCACGAACUUACUCCAGCACCAGCCUAACCUACUCCACCUGAGCCUGAUGAGACUCCACAAUGCAUGUGGGGUUUGAGUCUGACCAGGUGUAAAGAAUGAUUAAACGUUUGGGCUGGGUUGGGUCAGGCCCUGCAAGCUGAGCUGAUGGCUUUCUACAGGUCAGUGUGGUUUGCUCUCUAUUACUGGCAUGUGAAGAACGUGUUUCAACUUGUUCCACUUAUAGCCUGUUUCAGUUCAUAAUUACCCAGCUAUGAGUUUAGUUGGAUUGGCCAUGGUCGGAUUUUUAAUUUUAGUUUAGUUUAGAGAUACAGCAUAGAAACAGGCCCCUCGGCUGACCCAGUCCACUUCGACCAUCGAUCACCCGUUCACACUAGUUCUAUGUUAUCCCACUUUCUCAUCCACUCCCUACACACCAGGGACAAUUUACAGAGGCCAGUUAACCUACAAACCCACACCACUUUGGGAUGUGGGAGGAAACCGGAGCGCCUGAAGGAAACCCAUGGUCACAGGGAGAACGUGCGGUGCAAACUCCACACACCGACAGCACCCAAGCUUAGGAUCAAACCAGCUGUGCCACUGUGCUGCCAUUAUACCGAAGCAGAUCUCAGUGUAUGCUGCACAACGCAUCAACCUCUUGGUCUACAGAUGGACACAUUGUGCUGGAGUAACUCAGCACGAUGGGUGAUGAUUCGAGCUGGAACCCUUCUUCAGACUGAAAGGAGGUGGUGGGGGAGGGGAAGAGGUACAGAGCUGGAGGCAAGGAAAAAUCAGGACCCGCCACAAAUGUCUUCACACAGAAUGGUACCUGGUAGGUUCAUUGUUGGCUAGGGAAUGUGUGAUCUGUGGAAGAACUGUGGAAUUAGUU
This is a long non-coding RNA of Leucoraja erinaceus (little skate), 1601 nucleotides long. RefSeq lists it as uncharacterized. The record is from RefSeq and is a predicted model, not a curated record. The transcript is spliced from 3 exons. NCBI's taxonomy places the organism in Eukaryota, Metazoa, Chordata, Chondrichthyes, Rajiformes, Rajidae.